RNAcentral lists this ribosomal RNA (206 nucleotides) under uncultured bacterium. Its description in RNAcentral is "partial 16S ribosomal RNA". It matches the Rfam family "Bacterial small subunit ribosomal RNA", at positions 568 to 774 of the family's 1533-position model. The record is from RNAcentral.
CACGUAGGCGGACUCUUAAGUCGGGGGUGAAAUCCUGGAGCUCAACUCCAGAACUGCCUUCGAUACUGGGAGUCUUGAGUUCGGGAGAGGUGAGUGGAACUGCGAGUGUAGAGGUGAAAUUCGUAGAUAUUCGCAAGAACACCAGUGGCGAAGGCGGCUCACUGGCCCGAUACUGACGCUGAGGUGCGAAAGCGUGGGAGCAAACA